GGAUGUGAGGGCGAUCUGGCUGCGACAUCUGUCACCCCAUUGAUCGCCAGGGUUGAUUCGGCUGAUCUGGCUGGCUAGGCGGGUGUCCCCUUCCUCCCUCACCGCUCCAUGUGCGUCCCUCCCUAAGCUGCGCGCUCGGUCGAAGAGGACGACCAUCCCCGAUAGAGGAGGACCGUUCUUCGGUCAAGGGUAUACGAGUAGCUGCGCUCCCCUGCUAGAACCUCCAAACAAGCUCUCAAAGUUGCUAAUUUAACCAUAGUUGCAAAAUUCUUUUUCCCAGGUAAAAUGGAAUAUUCC
RNAcentral lists this small nuclear RNA (297 nucleotides) under Castor canadensis (American beaver). Its description in RNAcentral is "7SK RNA (ENSCCNG00000006331.1)". It matches the Rfam family "7SK RNA". From Rfam's summary of the family: 7SK was discovered as an abundant small nuclear RNA in the mid-70s but a possible function has only recently been suggested. Two independent studies have found that 7SK RNA binds the CDK9/cyclin T complex (known as elongation factor P-TEFb). P-TEFb activates transcription by phosphorylating the C-terminal domain of RNA polymerase II. Lineage: Eukaryota; Metazoa; Chordata; Mammalia; Rodentia; Castoridae. The record is from RNAcentral.